GAUGAACGCUGGCGGCGUGCCUAAUACAUGCAAGUAGAACGCUGAAGCUUGGUGCUUGCACCGAGCGGAUGAGUUGCGAACGGGUGAGUAACGCGUAGGUAACCUGCCUCUUAGCGGGGGAUAACUAUUGGAAACGAUAGCUAAUACCGCAUAAAAGUCGAUAUCGCAUGAUAUUGAUUCGAAAGGUGCAAUUGCAUCACUAAGAGAUGGACCUGCGUUGUAUUAGCUAGUUGGUGAGGUAACGGCUCACCAAGGCGACGAUACAUAGCCGACCUGAGAGGGUGAUCGGCCACACUGGGACUGAGACACGGCCCAGACUCCUACGGGAGGCAGCAGUAGGGAAUCUUCGGCAAUGGGGGCAACCCUGACCGAGCAACGCCGCGUGAGUGAAGAAGGUUUUCGGAUCGUAAAGCUCUGUUGUAAGAGAAGAACGAGUGUGAGAGGGAAAGUUCACA
RNAcentral lists this ribosomal RNA (455 nucleotides) under Streptococcus parasanguinis. Its description in RNAcentral is "bacterial SSU rRNA". It matches the Rfam family "Bacterial small subunit ribosomal RNA", at positions 28 to 468 of the family's 1533-position model. Lineage: Bacteria; Bacillati; Bacillota; Bacilli; Lactobacillales; Streptococcaceae. The record is from RNAcentral.